GAUACGAGUCGGCUUAUCGCGUCUGAGCAAUUAGGCGAGGAAAGUCCGGGCAGCAUAGGGCACCCUACUUCCUAACGGGAAGGCGGGCGGUUGGGAACGACCGUUCGACAGCCAGUGUCACAGAGAAUAUACCGCCCCGCUUUGGUGGGGUAAGGGUGAAAAGGUGGAGUAAGAGCCCACCGCCCGCUGGGUGACCAGCGGGGCAGGAUAAACCUUAGGGGCUGAAAGACCAAAUAAGCGUCGGACGUGGGGCGGCCCGUUCCCGUUUCAGCGUAAGCCCAACCGGGCCUGCGUUUACUGCCGAUGCGGGUAGGUCGAACGAGGUGGCCGGUGACGGCCAUCCUAGAUAAAUGAUAAGCCAUUUCGCUUUUGGCGGGAAGACAGAACCCGGCUUAUAGACUCGUGUUGUGA
Molecule: RNase P RNA, 411 nt
Filed under: Spirosoma radiotolerans
Lineage: Bacteria; Pseudomonadati; Bacteroidota; Cytophagia; Cytophagales; Cytophagaceae
Description: Bacterial RNase P class A
Rfam family: Bacterial RNase P class A
About the family: Ribonuclease P (RNase P) is a ubiquitous endoribonuclease, found in archaea, bacteria and eukarya as well as chloroplasts and mitochondria.
Source: Rfam by way of RNAcentral